CGGCGACCGGCGCACGGGUGAGUAACGCGUAUCCAACCUUCCGUACACUCAGGGAUAGCCUUUCGAAAGAAAGAUUAAUACCUGAUGGUAUGAUGAGAUUGCAUGAUAGCAUCAUUAAAGAUUUAUCGGUGUACGAUGGGGAUGCGUUCCAUUAGGUAGUAGGCGGGGUAACGGCCCACCUAGCCAACGAUGGAUAGGGGUUCUGAGAGGAAGGUCCCCCACAUUGGAACUGAGACACGGUCCAAACUCCUACGGGAGGCAGCAGUGAGGAAUAUUGGUCAAUGGACGAGAGUCUGAACCAGCCAAGUAGCGUGAAGGAUGAAGGUCCUACGGAUUGUAAACUUCUUUUAUAAGGGAAUAAACCCUCCCACGUGUGGGAGCUUGCAUGUACCUUAUGAAUAAGCAUCGGCUAACUCCGUGCCAGCAGCCGCGGUAAUACGGAGGAUGCGAGCGUUAUCCGGAUUUAUUGGGUUUAAAGGGAGCGCAGACGGGUCGUUAAGUCAGCUGUGAAAGUUUGGGGCUCAACCUUAAAAUUGCAGUUGAUACUGGCGUCCUUGAGUGCGGUUGAGGUGUGCGGAAUUCGUGGUGUAGCGGUGAAAUGCUUAGAUAUCACGAAGAACUCCGAUUGCGAAGGCAGC
RNAcentral lists this ribosomal RNA (638 nucleotides) under uncultured bacterium. Its description in RNAcentral is "bacterial SSU rRNA". It matches the Rfam family "Bacterial small subunit ribosomal RNA", at positions 89 to 725 of the family's 1533-position model. The record is from RNAcentral.